AAACAACAACACAAAAACAAUUCAGGAUUGAGAGAGGAGUGGGGAUCGAGACGAGAUCUGAUGCCACAAUAUUACUUGUUAUUGAGUUUUCUCGCCUAUUUGAAUUCGACGAAUAAAUCGAGAAAAUGAGGCUUUCAAAGACCAAGAACUGAGGAAUCGAGAUAGAAGACGUUGGCAAACUGUGCCGGCGGAAUCUUCGACUCAGUAUGCGUACCAAUGAUUUACCUGGUUGAAGUUUUGAUUGUUAUGUGGUAUUCUUAUCGUUGUUAUGGCCCCUGUUAUUAGUAAAAGAGUUGGAUUGAUGAGAUAUGGUGUCAUGCUUUUUAGCUUAGCCUAUCUAUGUCUUUCAAUUGCCACAGCCAUCUAUAUAUUGGUGUUGCAGAGGAGCUUCACAGUAACUACCAUAGCCAUCUACUGUUAUGCCCAAGUUUGUGCUAACUGGCGAGCAAUGUUUGUCAACUCUAAUAAGGACUAUGGAGUACAAUUAGAAGAAGGUUUGGAGCAAGAUCCCCAGAAUUUUUGUCCAGAGUGCAAUAUCUUCAAGAACAAGAAAUCCCAUCAUUGCCCUUUGUGUGAAUGCUGUGUUUUGCGGCACGACCACCAUUGUUUCUUUUUAGGUACCU
Molecule: long non-coding RNA, 623 nt
Organism: Daphnia pulicaria
Lineage: Eukaryota; Metazoa; Arthropoda; Branchiopoda; Diplostraca; Daphniidae
Exons: 3
Source: RefSeq, a predicted model, not a curated record